This 460-nucleotide ribosomal RNA is filed under the name uncultured bacterium. Its description in RNAcentral is "partial 16S ribosomal RNA". It matches the Rfam family "Bacterial small subunit ribosomal RNA", at positions 338 to 795 of the family's 1533-position model. The record is from RNAcentral.
CCUACGGGUGGCAGCAGUGAGGAAUAUUGGUCAAUGUGCGCGAGCCUGAACCAGCAAAGUAGCGUGAAGGAUGACUGCCCUACGGGUUGUAAACUUCUUUUAUAAAUGAAUAAAGUGAGGCACGUGUACCUGUUUGUAUGUAUUUUAUGAAUAAGGAUCGGCUAACUCCGUGCCCGCAGCCGCUGUAAUACGGAGGAUCCGAGCUUUAUCCGGAUUUAUUGGGUUUAAAGGGAGCGUAGAUGGGUUGUUAAGUCAGUUGUGAAAGUUUGCGGCUCAACCGUAAAAGUGCAAUUGCUACUGGCAGCCUUGAGUACAGUUGAGGUAUGCGGAAUUCGUGGUGUAGCGGUGAAAUGCUUAGAUAUCACGAAGAACUCCGAUUGCGAAGGCAGCCUACUAAACUGCCACUGACAUUGAUGCUCGAAAGUGUGGGUAUCAAACAGGAUUAGAUACCCUUGUAGUC